GUCUGCACGUGAAACGGUAAGAACCGUCACAUAUAAUCAUAUAUGAAAUCACAUAACACUAUCAAGUUACAUUGCCUAACGCCUUAUCAUCUUCCACAACCACCGAAGGACCAUGUAUGACCUUAGAUUCACUCUUGCAGAUCCCAGACGACGGACCCUUGAAUUACAAUUUUAUGGGCGUUAAACACACGGCAAGCAUGUAGUAUGGAAUGAAACUUGAAGCACCUCGGGAGUUUCAUCACGAGUACCAUAGGCCGAUUCAUUUCCUGGAAUUCAGCAAUUUGGAGGAAACCGAAACUGCAGAAGGGGACCGUUAACACAUCUUCCCUCGAGGUCUGCUGCAGAACUUCUUUGUAGCGAUGUAUAUCCAUAGCUUGUAACUAGUGGAGUUUAGUUUUGGAGCAACGCAUAUACAGCAAGCGGAUGAUGGCCUCAUCUGCCCGUCUAAUUGAGUUUUCCACUCUUUCAGAGUACAAAUUCUUGUUUCACAUCGAUGUCCCAAAAACAACUGGUGACUUCAUCUAUGAAGGAAUGGAACGUCAGAGAUUUAUGGUACUUGCAUUAGUUCUUAUUAUCUUGAUUGGAGAACAGAAUAAUUGUUGGAAGUAAUUUGAAUAUGGUUAGUUGCAUUAGUAAUAUACUCUAUGCGUCAAUUACUAUUGCUUUUGAGAUCAGACUAAGGAUGUAAGGCCAGUUCCAGCCCAGCAUAUGCAAGGCCGGCAUGGCUCAUAUAGACCUUCCAGUUUCUAGUGUGGAUAUGGUCGAGAAAUCUCACUUCUAUGAAGGUGAUACACCAACAAAGGCUUCAACAGAUAAUCUAACUAUGCCAUGACCAUCACAAGAUUUCAUCGGAAAA
Long non-coding RNA from Olea europaea var. sylvestris, 856 nucleotides. RefSeq lists it as uncharacterized. NCBI's taxonomy places the organism in Eukaryota, Viridiplantae, Streptophyta, Magnoliopsida, Lamiales, Oleaceae. The record is from RefSeq and is a predicted model, not a curated record. The transcript has 2 exons.